This 14166-nucleotide long non-coding RNA is filed under the name Carica papaya (papaya). RNAcentral's name for it is "long non-coding RNA (CPAP_LNC008740)". The record is from RNAcentral. Lineage: Eukaryota; Viridiplantae; Streptophyta; Magnoliopsida; Brassicales; Caricaceae.
AAGGAGAAGGUUAUAAAUAAUCUCAUCCACACCCAAUCCUAAACCCUAGCCGCCAGAGCCCUCGCCGGAGAAGACAGCCCAGCCACCGGAGGAACCGACCACCGCCACAUGCCGCCGUACCGGAGCACUUUUUGGCCGCCAAAUGAGGUAAAAUUUCUCCUCUUGGCUCGAAUUUUGAUACUAAACCCCCAUAUGGCCAAAUCGGAGCCAAACCACCGGCCAAUUGGCUAGAAAAUGCCGUCGAAGCCCAGCGGCGCCGUCGCGAGUUUUUUCAAUUUUUGCCUCCGAUAAGGCCCUUCCCGAUUCUCGAUUCUCGUUCGAUGUAAUUUUUACACUACUGUGACCACUGUCCUUUCUUCUACAGGUUGAUUGGAGCAAAACACCAAAUCACAACUCGCGCCGGAGGAGCCGCCGCACCCGAGAGCUCUGCCGCCGAUAAGUCUCAGUUUUCUGUAUUUUUUUGGCCCACCGAGGGCCCUACAUGUGUUUCCUCGCAGGAACUGGUGCUAGUUUGGCUGAAUUUGGCCAGAAACGGCUGAAAACAGCCAACCCGAGGCGGAUCGCCGCCGUGGGUGGUGGCGCCGUCGCCGGAGAGCCGAGGAGGUCCUAUGUAACGCCCAACAAUUUUAGAAUUUUAUUGUUAUUAUUAUUAAUUUUAUUUUUUAUAUUUUAUUUUAUUUAUUUAGUUUAUUUUAAUUUAAGUUAAUAAAAAUAAAAACAACAAUAAUUGUAACAUUGGGUAAAGAUAUUAUUUGGAUUUAAUUGAAAUUGAUUUUGGGAAAAAAGGGUGAAAAUUAGGAUUUUGGGGGUAUUUUUGAAAAGAAAAUCGGAAACCAGAGGUCAAAACGCAAUUUAGAAAAAUUACGCCACAUCAGUAGCCACGUCAGCAGCCUAGUCAGCAGCCCUGGCCAACCAGGGACCUGCCACGUGGCAAGACCACGUCGACCCCAGGAACGAGCCACGUGGGCGAUCCGCGUGCGUGCGAUCGGACGACUCAGAUGCGUCCCCGCGCGCACGGACUGCCCAGAUCAAGCGUGCGCACGGACAGCCCAGAUUUAAUCAAAAUGGACGGCUGUGAUCAAAAGGCAAAAGGGUAUAAAUAAAACCCCCACACCUGACCACAAAAACCCUAGCCACCUGCCCUCGCCGGAGAAGACGAACCAGACGCCGAAGGAGCCGGCCGCCGCCACCCGCCGCUGCACCGGGGAGAUUUCCGACCGCUGAUCGAGGUAAAUUUCAUACCCCCGACUCGUUUUUCCACGCUGAUUUCCUCUGUGGCCAAAUCAGAGCCAAAAUCCCGGCCAAACGGCCGAAAAACACGGCCGAAACCCAGCAGCGUCGUCGCGUCCCUCCUCGGUUUUUGCCUCCGAUGAGGCCCUUCCCGACCUCCGUUUGAUACAAUUUUUAUAUCACCGUGAUCACCAUUCUUUUUUCUACAGGUUGAUUGGAGCCAAAUCACCAAAACACGAACCUCGCCGGAGAGCCGCCGCACCCGAGAGCACCGCCGUCGGUAAGCUUCGGUUUUUCGUAAUUUUUUUGCCCCCCGAGGGCCCUAGGGUCGUUUUAUCGCAGAGACCGAUGCAAGUGUGGCCGAAUUCAGCCGGAAAUGGCCGAAAACGGCCAACUCGAGGCGAAUCGCCACCGCUUGCGGCGGCGCCGUCGCUGGAGCACGGCGGAGCCGCCGUGCCGGAAUUGCGAUAUUGGCCGAAAGGGGCCCUGGGUCUAAUUUGGAAUUUUUGGGACACGUGCAGGUACCAGUAGUGCGUUUCAGUUCCCCGAAAAAAAUUCAGAAAAAAUUAGGGACAGCCUGUAGGCGCACUUUAGAGCCGUAUUCGGACCCCGAAACAAGUAAGGAUUCCUCACCCUAUUUCCUAUCACGGUAUUAAAGUGCAAUAAAUGAUAAAAUGGUAUUUCAUGAAUCAAUAGCUGUGUGAAAUUGUUUGAGGUUGCUAAUGGAGCCCGAGUCUGGUGUAUUUGUCGGUCAGUUGUUGUUUGUUCUAUUUUACAGUUUUAAAUACAGUAUGAUGUCUGAUGUUUUUAUUUCAUAGUUUCGUGUGCAUGUAUCACUGUUUCAUUGAUUAUAGACUGAAUGACUGAGAACCCGAUGUUGUGUGUUGUCUUGUUGGCGUGAACUACCGGUUUGCAUAUUUGUGUGUGAUUUGAUGAUGCUGACUGAGGAAAAAGGGGGAUGAAAGGUUAUGUAAAUUGAUAAUUGUAUAAUGUGGUCAGCCUGACUAGAUAUUCUGGGAGAUGGUGGACGGACCGGGUCCGUAGGGAACCCUACCGGGACUGUGGUUUGUCAUACCGGACGGGAUAUGGAGACCUUAUGUCUUUUGGCGCCCAUACCGGACGGGGUAUGGGGACGACCCGUUUCACCCUCAUACCGGACGAGGUAUUGAGGUUUAUAAUUUUGGCGCCCAUACCGGACGGGGUAUGGGGACGGCCCUGGAAUCUGAUUACAAGUGUUAAGGGUUCACGAGUAGCGGGACCCCUAUGGAUCCCCAUGGAUACUAGUAGGCUGGUAAAUGAAGAAAAAUAUGUUGUAAAAUGAUUGAAUUGCAAAAGGCGUGAUAAGUAUUAUGUUAUACAGCUCAUAUGAUUUCAUGAUGAUGAUAAUGUUAUUGCUUUCGUAUAUUGUUUUAUGAAUUUCACCGAGGUAAGUGGAUAGUAAAUGAUUUUAUUAUUGAUAAAAGAAUUUGUUGUAAAUUAUGCUCCAUUGGUCUUUUUGUAUUUUCUACCCACCUUUACCUCCGUGACUGUGAGAUAGUGCGUACUCUUUACUGAGCUGGUGUAGCUCAUUCCUUAUUUAAUCAUUUCAGAUCAGGAAGACAUUGUUCCCGAGCCCGUUCCGCAGGAAGACGGCGAAGGGGACGCCUAAAGACUCCGUAGCUAUAUUUAUAGCUUUUACUUUCGAGUUUCUCUUUUAGUUAGUUUGUUCUUUUAUACUUUGAGCACGUUUUUUGUUUUAGUGUGAGGGAUGUUAAUCGAAAUUUUUAUUUCGCUUCCGCAUUUGACCUUUUUAAUACACGUAUUUCAUUUUAAAUUUCCGGGGCCGUUACAUCCUAGGUCUGGUUUGGAGUUUUUUGGGGACAUGUGUAGGUACCGAAAAUGUGUUUCAGUUCCCGGAGAAAAAUUUAGAGAAUCUAGGGACUGCCCGUAGGUACAGUGAAAAACUGAUUUUAGACUUCGAAUCAAGUAAGGAUCUCUCACCCACCCUAUAUCCUAUCAUGGUAUUAAAGUCUAAUAAAUGAUAAAACGGUAUUUUGUGAAUUCAUGGAUAUGUAUAAUUAAUUAAGGUUGCUAAUGGAGCCCGAAUCUAAUAUAUUUUUCGGUCAGUUCCUGUUUGAUUUAUUUUACAAUCUAAAUACAGUGUAGUAUCUGAUUUAUUUAGUCUGUAGCUUUGUAUGCAUGUUUCACUGUUUAAUUUAUUAUGGUUUGAUUAUUGUGAACCCGAUGUUAUGUUUGCCUUAUUUGGUAUUCGUUACUGAUUUAUGUAUUCAUGUUUAAUUGGGUAAUUGAGACUAAGAACAAAUAGGAAUGGGAUUAAGUUGAUAAAUGGAUAGGUUAACAACCUCACUAGACAUAUUGGGAGAUGGUGGACAGACCGGGUCCAUAAGGGACCCUACCGGGAAUGUUGUCUCUCAUACCGGACGGGGUAUGGAGACUUUAAAUAUUUUGGUGCUCCGAGCCUGUUGGUCAGGAAGACGGCGAGUAGAUGCCUAAAAGAUUUUAUAGCUUUUCUUAUAGUAUUCAUUUCUAGUAUUUACUUUAGUUAGCUUAUUCUUUCAUACGUUUAAUACGUUUUGCUUAUUGUGUAAGGGAUGUUAAACAUAAUAUUUUAUUUCGCCUCCGCACUUAGAAUUCUUAUAUAUACGAUCCUUUUAAUUUUCGGGGCCGUUACAGUUGGUAUCAGAGCCGCGUUCCUCGGACUCCGAUUAAUCGUUACUCAACACUUCCUUGUGAAAGAUAGGUGCAGAGAGAUGAUGAGAGAAAGACCCCCACUAAAUCGAGCAGCCCGGGAUGAUUCGCUUCGGAAAGAUGUAGACAGAAUAUUUGAGAUGCUAGAAAGGAUCAUUGCUGCCCAGUAAGGCUGAGAGGAGAGAAGGGAGUUACCCGACCCCCCCCCCCCACUACCACAGGUUGAGUCACUGCUACAGCGAGCGGAUCCCGAGCCACCUCGGCACGAGCUUGCUCCUCCACAGUACCCCCCGACACCACCAUCGCAGUAUAAUCCGGUGGCCUAGCCACAGUACUGCCCGGUACUGCCACAGUAGAAUCCAGUGCCCCCAUUAUAUCAGCAAGUGCCACCACAGGCCCCCCCAGUCUAUCCUUAGCCCAGCCCAGUCCCUCUUCCAUGGGACCCAACACCUUCCCUAAUUGACCCGGGCUACAUAGAGAGGUACAGAAGACUUAACCCUUCCACUUUUGCAGAGGAGUCCUCUUUGAAGAUGACCAGUACUGGUUUGCGGAGACAGAGAAGGCUUUUAAGACCUUAGGAGUGGUUCCCAAGUAGAGGGUUACCCUUGCUUUCUACAUGCUGGUGGGGGAAGUAGGUCGUUGGUGGGAGCUCAAACAGACCACCCUACCUACAUCAGUCACUUGGGAGCAGUUCUUAGCAGCAUUUCAUGCGGAGUACCUCCCCGAGCAUAUCCAACAUCUAAAGGAGAUGGAGUUUGUCCAGUUGGUCCAGGGAAACAUGACGGUAUCGGAAUAUACUCGUAAGUUCUUAGAGCUGGGCCGAUACUCCCCUGAGACAUUGAUAGAUGAGGCAAGGAAGACUAGGAGGUUCUAGUGGGGCCUCCGCCCAGAAAUCAAGUAGCACUUAUUGGUACUAGAGCUCAAGACAUAUUCAGUCGUUUUGGCAAAGGUGCAGAUUGUGGAGAGGAGUUUCAACACCCUUCCUCAGUCAGCAGGAAGUCACAGACCCUCAGCUCCACCCCGCAGACCAGCACCUACUGCGCCUGUCCAACAAAAUAAGAGGCUCAGACCGGCGAUCUAGGCUCCCCCUCAAGCUCCAGGGGCAACACGUGGCAAGAUCUGUUAGCACUGCGGCAGGGAUCACGGGGACCGACCAUGCUAUCGCCUCAACAACACCUGUCGCAUAUGUGGUAGUGCCCAACACUAUACGAGAGAGUGCGCGAGGAACCAGAACCAAGGAAGACCUCCUAUUCAGGACAGGGUUUACAACCUCACAUAGCAGGAUCCCGAUGUCGAUCCGGACGUGGUACAUGGUAUGUACACUAUCUGUAACUAUAUUGCUCAUAUUUUAUUUGACACUGGUGCAUCGCAUUUAUUUGUUUCACGUGUUUUUGCAUCCAAACUUAAUAUAUUACUUGAUAAACUUGAUUCAAUGUUAUUUGUGUUUACUGCUGAAGGUGAAACACUAUUAGGGGAAGUUGUCUAUAGGGCUUGUGCCGUGAAGAUAGCAAAUAGGAAACUGAGUGUAGACUUAAUAGGGUUGGACACGGGAGAUUUUGAUGUAAUUUUAGGGAUGGAUUGGCUAGCGGUGUAUCACGCCACCACAGAUUACUUUAACAAGAAGGUUGUAUUUAAUCUUCAUAAUGAGGAGCCAUUUACAAAUUAAUAAAAUUAUUUAGUACUUAUUCCUUGAUGGCAAGUUUCCUUAAUUUUCAAGUACUUUAACCUGACUAUUUUCUCUAAUUAGGCAAGCCCAAUAAGGAAAUUUGUAUCCAAGAGAUUUCGGUAGUCUGAGAUUUUCCAGAUGUGUUUGCGGACGAACUACCCGGACUGCCAGUGGACAGAGAAAUUGAGUUCACUAUAGACCUACAACCAGACACCCAGCCCAUUUUGGUUGCUCCUUACCGCAUGAGCAGCAUUGAGAUGGAAGAGUUGAGGAAACAGAUAACUGAAUUGCAAGACAGUGGUUUUAUUAGACACAGUGUGUCUUCUUGGGGUGUCGGAGUCACUUUCACCAGGAAGGGAGAUGGAACGUUGAGACUGUGUAUUGAUUACAGAUGAUUGAAUAAUGUCACAAUCAAGAACAAAUAUCCCCUUCCCAGAAUUGAUGACCUCUUCGAUCAGCUGCAGGGUGCGCAGGUCUUCUCCAAAAUAGAUCUGCGAUCAGGUUACCAUCAGGUAAAAAUAAGAAUAGAAGACAUCCCCAAAACGGCCUUUCGAACCCAGUACGGACACUAUGAGUUCCUGGUUAUGCCAUUUGGGCUAACCAACGCCCUGACCAUCUUUAUGGAUCUGAUGAAUAGGGUCUUCAGAGAAUUCUUGGAUCAAUUUGUUAUCGUGUUCAUCGAUGACAUCUUGGUCUACUCAAAAAGCAGAGAAGAGCAUGCUCACCAUCUAGCCCAAGUUUUGUAGGUCCUAAAAAAAAAGAAGCUAUAUGCAAAUUUGAGUAAGUGUAGAUUCUGGCUUGAGCAGACCGUCUUCCUAGGACACAUUAUAUCGAAGGAAGGAGUAUCAGUGAAUCUCGAAAAGGUUGAAGCGGUACUUGGUUGGGAGAAGUUGACAUCAGUUAAGGAAAUCCGUAGCUUCCUAGGAACUGCAGGUUUGUCGAAGGAUUCUCUAGUCUAGCAGCUCCCCUAACUCGACUCAUAAAGAAGAAUGCCAAGUUUGAGUGGAAUGAAGACUGUGAGAGAAGUUUUUCAGAAUUAAAGGAGCGGGUAACCACUAUACCCGUGCUGGCUUUACCAAGUGAAUUAGGGGGAUAUACAGUUUAUAGUGAUGCCUCCUAUGUAGACCUGAGUUGUAUCCUAAUGCAGCAUGGAAAGGUCAUAGUUUAUGGGUCCAGACAGUUAAAGAAUCAUGAGAAGAAUUAUCCCACCCAUGACUUGGAACUUGCUGCAAUCAUACAUGCCUUGAAAACCUAGUGCCAUUAUUUAUACGGAGAGACCUUUCAGAUCUAUACCGAUCAUAAGAAUUUGAAACACAUAUUCACUCAAAAGAAUCUCAACAUACAUCAGAGAAGGUGGAUGGAACUCUUUAAGGACUAUGAUUGUGGUAUCUUGUAUUAUCCGGGUAAAGGCAACGUGGUGGCAGAUGCUCUCAAUAGGAAAAGUGCAGGUAUCUUAGCCCAUUUGAUGAUUUCAGAACGCAAACAAAUUGGGGCCACACAACAGGUUCGGCUUCAGGACCUGAAGAGAGUCGCAUGUUUGAGCCAUCUGACCGUUCAGCCCAAGUUAAUACAGAGAAUAAGGGAAGCUUAGUCAGUCGACCCCACCCUAAUAGCCCGCAAGAAUGAUGCAGAACAUGUAGUGAGCUCAGAAUUCUGAGUCUCUGCCGAUGGGUUACUCCGGUUUCAAGACAGGGUGUGUGUCUCAGAUGACAGUGAGCUAAAGAGAGACAUCAUGACAGAGUCCCAUAACUCAAAGUUUGCCAUGCAUCCUGGAAGCACUAAAAUGUACCAAAGCAUGCGACCCCAGUUUUGGUAGAAUGGGAUGAAGAGGGACAUAGCUGACUUUGUAUCUAAAUGCUUGAUAUGUCAGUAGGUCAAGGCAGAACAUCAGUGCCCAGGCGGGUUACUUCAGCCUUUACCGAUCCCAGAGUGAAAGUGAGAACAUAUCACCAUGGACUUCGUAACGGGAUUACCCAAGGUACAUUCAGAACAUGACGCCAUCUGGGUAAUUGUUGACCGGCUUACCAAGUCUUUCCACUUUCUAGCCAUCAGGAUGACCGAUCCCUUGAACAAGUUGGCAAGAAUGUAUAUCCGAAAAAUAGUCAGAUUGCAUGAAGUUCCAGUGACAGUGGUAUCCGACAAGGACCCGAGGUUCACUUCUCGGUUUUGGAGUAGCUUUCAGCAUGCCAUGGGAAUAAAGCUGUCUCUCAGUACUACCUUCUAUCCUCAGACUGAUAGAUAGUCAGAAAGGACAAUCUGUACACUUGAGAAUAUGCUCUGAGCUUAUGUCUUUGACUCUGGGGCCAUUGGGACGACCAUCUACCCUUGAUAAAAUUUGCCUACAAUAACAACUACCAAGCGAGCAUUGGCAUGGCUCUGUAUGAAGCGUUAUAUGGGCGCCCAUGUAAAUCACUGAUUUGUUGGGAAGAAGUGGGCGACAGAAAAUUAUUUGGCCCGGAGUUGGUGGAGGAGACCACGUCUAAAAUAGUUAUAAUUAGAAAGAACAUUCAGACGGCUCAGAGCAGGCAGAAGAGUUAUGCAGACACCCGGAGGAAGUAUUUAGCGUUUGAGAAAGGCGACCGGGUGUUCCUUAAGGUCACUCUUUUCAAGGGAAUUAGUAGGUUUGGCAGGAGAAAAAAACUGAACCCCCGAUUUAUUGGACAAUUUGAAGCUUGGACAGGAUUGGUACUGCCGCCUACAAACUAGCACUGCCUCCAAAGCUCUCCAAGGUCCACAAUGUGUUCUAUGUGUCCAUGUUACGUAAGUACAACCCGGACCCCUCUCAUGUCUUGGCUCAUGAAUCGCUUCCACUCCAAGAGGACUUGUCUUAUGAGGAAGUACCAGUCGGUAUCACGGACCGAAAGAGCAGAAUACUCCACAACCGAAAAAUAUCAUUUGUAAAGGUCGUGUGGCAGAACCACACGCCAAGGGAGGUUACCUGGGAGCUAUAAUCAGACUUUAGAGCUCAGUAUCCCCAUUUGUUCGACCAGAAGUAAGAAGCAAAUUUGGGGGACCAAAUUUCUUUAAGAGAGGAGAGUUGUAACAACCUAAUUUUAUUAUUAUUAUUAUUAUUGAAAUUAUCAUAAUUUUAAUUUUUUUAAUUGAUUUAUUUAAGUAAUACUAUAAUUGUUUUAAUUUAGUUUAAUUUAAUUUAAUAGAAAUAAUAAUAAUAAUAAUAAUAAUAAUAGGUAAAAUUAUUUUUGGGGUUUAAUUGAAAAUAAUUUUAGAAAAAAUGGUGAAAAUUCAGAUUCUAUGGGUGUUUUUGAAAAGAAAAUCAGAAACUGAUGGUCAAAACGUAAUUUAAAAAAAUUACACCACGUCAGCAGCCCGGUCAGAAGCUUCGGCCAAUCAGGACACGCUGCGUGGUAGAGACGCUAAUGCGGGAAGGCUACGCGGAACGAGCAACGCAGAACGGGUCACGUGGGCGAUCCGCGUGCGCGCGAUCUGAAGGCUGAGAUUCAUUUCCGCAUGCACAGACGACCCAGAUCAAACGCGCGCGGGGACGGCCCAGAUUGCACGCAUGCUGACGGUCCAGAUUGAAUUACGCACGGACGGCCCAAAUCGCAUCGCGAUGGACGGUUCAGAUUCAUUUCCAAUUUAAUCGCGAUCAGACGGUCCAGAUUAAAUCAUGAUGGACAUCUCAAAUUAAAAGGGAAAGGUUAUAAAUAAUCUCAUUCACACCCAACCCCAAACUCUAGCCGUCAGAGCCCUCGCCGGAGAAGACAGCCCAGCCAUCGGAGGAACCGACUACCGCCACCCAUUGCCGCGCUGGAGCACUUUCCGACCGCCAAACUAGGUAAAAUUUCUCCCCUUUGCUCGGAUUUCAAUGCUGAACCCCCCUGUGGCUAAAUCGGAGCCAAACCACCAGCCAAUUAGCCAGAAAACACCGUCGAAGCCCAGUAGUGCCGCCGCGGGUUUUCUCAAUUUUUGCCUCCAAUGAGGCCCUUCCCGAUUCCCGUUCAAUAUAAUUUUUACACCACUGUGACCACAUUCCUUUCCUCUACAGGUUGACCAGAGCAAAACGACAAAUCGCGACUCGCGCCGGAGGAGCCACUGCACCCGAGAGCUCCGCCGCCAGUAAGUCUAAGUUUUAUGUAUUUUUUUGGCCCACCGAGGGCCCUACGUGUGUUUCUUCGCAGGAACUUGUGCUAGUUUGGGUGAAUUCGGCUAGAAACGGUCGAAAAUAGCCAACCCGAGAUGGAUCACCACCGUGGUCGGCGAUGUCGUCGUUGUAGCACGGCGGAGCCGCCGUGCCGGAAUUUUGAAAUUGGCCGAGGAGGCCCUAGGUCUGGUUUGGAGUUUUUUGAGGAUAUGUGUAGGUAUCGGAAGUGUGUUUCAGUUCCCGGAGAAAAAUUUAGGGAAUCUAAGGACUGCCCGUAGGCACAAUGAAAAACCAAUUUUAGAUUUCGAAUCAAGUAAGGAUCUCUCACCCACCUUAUAUCCUAUCAUGGUAUUAAAGUCUAAUAAAUGAUAAAACGGUAUUUUAUGAAUUCAUGGAUAUGUAUAAUUAAUUAAGAUUGCUAAUGGAGCCCGAAUCUAAUAUAUUUUUCGGUCAGUUCCUAUUUGAUUUAUUUUACUGUCUAAAUGCAGUGUUGUAUCUGAUUUGUUUAUUCUGUGGCUUCGUAUGCAUGAUUCACUGUUUAAUUUAUUAUGGUUUGAUUAUUGUGAACCUGAUGUUAUGUUUGUCUUGUUUGGUGUUCGUUAUUGGUUUAUGUAUUCAUGUUUGAUUGGGUGAUUGAGACUAAGAACAAAUAGGAAUGGGAUUGAGUUGAUAAAUGGAUAGUUUAACAGCCUCACUAGACAUAUUGGGAGAUGGAGGACAUAUCGGGUCCAUAGGGGACCCUACCGGGAACGUUGUCUCUCAUACCGGACGGGGUAUGGAGACUUUAAAUAUUUUGGCGCUCAUACCGGAUGGUGUAUGAGGACGACCCGCUUCACCCUCAUAACGGACGAGGUAUUAAGGUUUAUUAUUUUGGUGCCCAUACCGGACGGGGUAUGGAAACGGCCCUGGAAUUAAGUUGUUAACAUGAAUGGUUCACGUAUGGCGGGAACCUCUAUGGAUCCCCAUGGAUACUGGUAGGCUGGUAAAAAAGGAAAUUUGUUGCCUGAUGAUUGAAAUAUUAAAAGUAUGACAUGUGUUAUGUUACAGAGUGCGUAUGAUUUCAUGAUAUUAUAAUGUUAUUAUUUUCGUAAGUUGUUUUCUUGAAUCUCAUUGAGGUAAGUGGACAGUAAAAGAGUUUUAUUAUUGAUAAAUGAAAUUGUUAUAAAUUAUGCUCCAUUGGUCGUUUUUGUUUUCUACCAACCUUUACUUCUGUGACAGUGAGAUAAUGUGACAUCUUUACUGGGGUAGUGUAGCUCAUUUCUUACUUAACCAUUUCAGAUCAGGAGGACUUGGUUUCCGAGCCCGCUGGUCAGGAAGACGGCGAGUAAAUGCCUAAAAGAUUUUAUAGUUUUCCUUAUAGUAUUCAUUUCUAGUAUAUACUUUAGUUAGCUUAUUCUUUCAUACGUUUAGUACGUUUUGGUUAUUGUGUAAGAGAUAUUAAACAUAAUAUUUUAUUUCGUUUCUGCACUUAUAAUUCUUAUAUAUACGAUCCUUUUAAUUUCCGGAGCCGUUACAAUAUGUGUGUAUAUAUAUAUAUAUAUGUGUGUGAAUUGUAAACUUAAAUUAUAUGAACUGCAAUUGUUUCCCUUAUUGUUCUUAGAUGAAAAUAUAGAUAAAGUUUAACUUUGUAAACAACUGAGAGAAAACAAUAUCUUCAUUGGGAUUAAGAAAAAAAAAAGAAAGAGCUUAGUAGUUGAUUUAUCUAGAUAUUAAAACACAUCAUUAUUUAAUAUAUAUAUAUAUAUAUAAAUUCAGUUUAAAACAGUUUUUGACUUUAUCUUUAACAUUUUAAAAUAUUUUACUAAGUAUUUCUAGUAUUUUUACAAGUAAAUUUUAUUUAAAACAUACGUAUUUUUUGCAUAAGUCAAUGAUAAAAAAUUUAAUUUUUAUUAUGUUAUAAUUUUUUAAAAAUAAUUUUGACUUUUAAUAUAAAUUUAUAUUUGAAAUCUUAUAGAUCACUUUUAUAAAUCACAUAGUUUUUAUUUUUUAUAGUUAAAAUAUUUUCUGCGAUUAAUUUUAAUAAAUAUUAAAUAAUUUUUUAUUAACAAAUUUUUUAGAAAAUGACUAUUUAAUAGAACUUUUGAAACUCAGGUCACAAGCUAUGAUGUAAAAACCUAAAGCUAGAGGUUAUAAAAAUAUUGAAUUAUAUCAACUCUAAUCAGAAGCAAUUUAGAAUUUAGAGUUUACAUUCUUUACUCAGUAAAUCAGGAUGUUCAUUAAGAUUACGGGAAUGUUCUUUUAUAAUAGUUCAUUGUAAUGAGAUAAAUAGUUAAAACAAAAUGAAAUAAAAAUUUUAUGAGGUUAACUUUCGUUGGGCAACUCUGAUGAAGUCCAGGGGAAACUUUUAUUCGUAACGCUUCUGCUGUUCAGAAUUUAGAUCUUAAUCUUCUUGAUUUGAAAUGCUUAAAUAGGAGAAUGAACUACACUAACCUAAUAAGAAUAUCACACUUAUAACCGAUUAUGGAAAACCAAAAGUUUGGUAAAAAAAAUUCAUAAAUUAACAAAUGGAGCCAUUUUCUUUCUUAAAUAAAUUUAUUUAACAUAAAAAUCAUCAUUUCAUAUUUACUCUUAUGAGUUUCCAAAAUCGAUAUAUGAAANNNNNNNNNNNNNNNNNNNNNNNNNNNNNNNNNNNNNNNNNNNNNNNNNNNNNNNNNNNNNNNNNNNNNNNNNNNNNNNNNNNNNNNNNNNNNNNNNNNNNNNNNNNNNNNNNNNNNNNNNNNNNNNNNNNNNNNNNNNNNNNNNNNNNNNNNNNNNNNNNNNNNNNNNNNNNNNNNNNNNNNNNNNNNNNNNNNNNNNNNNNNNNNNNNNNNNNNNNNNNNNNNNNNNNNUAUGAAAUACUAUUUGCAAGUUAUUAAAGGAGACUUUAUAAAGUCAAUUUUCAAAGAGUUACUUUUAAAUUAUUUUUUUAUCAUAAUAUUAUUUUAAUUGAUAAUAAAUAAAUACUGAUGAACUACAAUAAAUAAAAUAAAAACUAUAAUGAUUUAAAGAAGAGUAAUGAUAAGCACUAAAGUAUAUGUUCACUAAAAUCAUAAAAAUGGAUAAUAAAUACUGAGUUAGAUAAAUCAAUUAUUUUUAAAGAAUAUAAAAGUUUAGACAAUUAAAAAUAUAUUUUAAAUUACUAAUGGAAGUGCUUAAUUCAAAUAAUUAAGUUUUUAAAUUUUUUUUAUAAUUUUUGUUAAUAAAAACAAAUUUAUAUUUAGAAUUAUUAAAAAAAUACUUAAUUCAUAUAUAGCUAAUUAUUUUUAAAUAAAUUAUUGGUAGUUCUUAAUUUUAUAAAAAAAAUAUAAAAAUGUAUAUCAUGAAUAAAGUGCAUAUGACGUUUAAUUGAUCGAAUUUAUAUAUUCCCAAUGAGAAAAACAUAUAAACAUUACAAUAAACUUUUCAAAAAAAAAAAAAAAGAAAGUAAUUAUUAGGGUUUUCUCACGUAUAUAGCAUUUACUCCGAACCUCCAUUCGCCAUUUAUCCUCUUAAUUUAAAACAUCAAACAGAAGAACAGACCGUUUUCUUCUUCUUCGUCCUCUUUGUAGAAACCAAUCAAACAUCUGAUCGGCAAUACUUGGGACAAACCCCCACCCAGUCAUUUUGAUCAGAUGCCUCCAAGGAAGCGAGCUCCUGGUCCCCGGUCCAAACGCGGUUCUAGGGCCUCUGCCGAACUCACCGUUCCAAACCCCGUCUCAUCUGACGAACCCUAUCCUCCGGCAACCGCCGACUCGGAAAUUCCUACCAUGGACAACUCACGCUCAGAUAUCAGCCCAAAAACAGCAGCAUUGGAGGUGGUACCGUUACCGCCACCUACACCGCCGGAACUUCCGGAACUCGAAUAUCGAAACGCGCGAUUGAUCGACAGCGACAAAACAAUCGGUGAGGGUGACGACAACGAUAAACCGAAAGUUGACGAGGUCGCAGUUCCGGAGCGGGUUCAAGAUGGAAUUGUUGGUUCGAUGGGUGUGGAGAUGGCGGGCUGCGAGGGAAGUGAGGGCGCUGAGAAGGAUUGGAAUAAGGAGAGUGUUGUGAUGGAGGAUUCGACGUCGGUGAAGAAGAGGAAGAAGGUGGUGAAAGUGGUGAAGAAGGUGGUGAAGAAAGUGGUGAGGAAGAAAGUGGUGCGGAAGGAUAGGGCGGGUAAUCUGGAGGGAGAACAGGAAUUCCAGACACCGGAGCUUUCAAAUGUAGAGGGAACGCUCACUGGGAACGCUGAUGGGGGGCUCGAAGAAGCUUCAAUGGAAGUUGGGAGUCCCGGCCUCAAUGCUUCUGUUGCGGUGGCGGGAGCUUCUGCAACAGAAGGAGAUGGAAAUGUGAAUGGAACUGAGGAAGGUGAUGGGAAAAACGGAGAUUUUGAGACUGAAAUUCUACUUGGAGACGAGAAGAAUGGGUUGAGUGUCUCCGUUGAAGAGCAGAGAGGUACGGAUGGUGGUGAGAUUGAGGAUCCGGAGGGGAGAAGGAAGUUUCUGGAGCUAGGAUGCAUUGGGUGGUGGAAGUGNNN